AAUGACUUAAGCUGGUGGUCAGAGAUAAGAACUUAGUGGCAUCUCUUCUGCCUACCAGAUAGGACUCCCCACUUUCCUGCUACCUCCUUUAAACCAUUCAGGCAUUUGCCUGCAAACUUAAAGGGAUCCAUAUCCUAUUACUCCCUUUUACAUUCCGCUAGUUGCGCAGGUGCUUACUCUGUCUUUCUCUACCUAACUCUUCAUUCUUGCCUCACAUCACCUGGGGAUGGAGGACUGCUCUCCUGGCCCAGGAUCUAGACAGUGUCUUGCUGUAUCACAAAGCCAG
RNAcentral lists this long non-coding RNA (286 nucleotides) under Homo sapiens (human). RNAcentral describes it as "HSALNT0147510". Lineage: Eukaryota; Metazoa; Chordata; Mammalia; Primates; Hominidae. The record is from RNAcentral.